UACGUAGGGCGCAAGCGUUAUCCGGAAUUAUUGGGCGUAAAGAGCUCGUAGGCGGUUUGUCGCGUCUGCCGUGAAAGUCCGGGGCUCAACUCCGGAUCUGCGGUGGGUACGGGCAGACUAGAGUGAUGUAGGGGAGACUGGAAUUCCUGGUGUAGCGGUGAAAUGCGCAGAUAUCAGGAGGAACACCGAUGGCGAAGGCAGAUCUCUGGGCCGUAACUGACGCUGAGGAGCGAAAGCGUGGGGAGCGAACAGG
This 253-nucleotide ribosomal RNA is filed under the name uncultured bacterium. Its description in RNAcentral is "partial 16S ribosomal RNA". It matches the Rfam family "Bacterial small subunit ribosomal RNA", at positions 524 to 776 of the family's 1533-position model. The record is from RNAcentral.